This 12822-nucleotide long non-coding RNA is filed under the name Daucus carota (carrot). RNAcentral's name for it is "long non-coding RNA (DCAR_LNC006051)". Lineage: Eukaryota; Viridiplantae; Streptophyta; Magnoliopsida; Apiales; Apiaceae. The record is from RNAcentral.
UCUCGAGAUGUUUUUACUUACAAUAUAUUGGUUGAUGCAUAUGGCAAAGAAGGAAUGAUUGAAGAUGUAGAGGAUGUGAUAGAGUUGAUGAUUCAAAGAGGAGAAUAUCCUGGUUUAGUUACUUACAAUUCACUCAUGGAUGGAUACUGCUUGCGGCGAGAGGUUGAUAAAUCAUUAGCAGUGUUCGAAAGCAUGAAGAGAAAGGGAAUAUUGCCUGAUACUCUUAGCUAUAAUAUCCUCAUCAACGGUUAUUGUAAGAAGUUUAAAGUGGACAGAGCCAUAGAUCUUUUUCAACAAAUGCCCGAUGAUGGUUUAACCCCAACUACUGAGACUUACAAUACUAUACUGCAAGGUUUUUUUCAUGUGGGUAGACAUGUUGAAGCCCGGAAAUUUUUUAAGGAAAAGAUGAUUAACCAAGGUGUUGAAUUGGAUAAAGUCACAUGCUCUAUCUUGUUGCAUGGUCUUUGCCAGAAUAGUUAUGUUGUUGAAGCACUAUCCUUUUUUCAAAUACUGGAAUCGAGGGGGUUAGUUCCUGAUAUACAUGUUUACAAUAUUCUGAUUGAUGGACUAAGCAAAAAUGGACAUCUAGAGAAUGCAAGAAGCCUUUUUGACAACCUUCCUUUGAAAGGUUUGCGGCCUAAUGUCAAGACAUUCACAAUGAUGAUCCAAGCAUAUUCUCAUGAAGGGUUAUUUGAGGAAGCAAAUGACCUCUUCUGGGAAAUGGAAGCAAAUGAUUGCUUGCCGGAUAAUGUGACCUACAAUACACUUAUGCAUGGUUAUUUACACAGUAAGAAGUACUAUGAAGCAGGUGUACUCCUGGAUGAAAUGCGUACUCGCGGCUUUAAAGCAGAUGCAUCUACCGCGUCUGCUUUACUGGAUUUACUUGAAGUGCAAGAACAGGAUCCCGCUCUCCUUGCUUUGCGCAAGAAGUACUUGCCGUAGGUGUAACAAAAGGAGAGUGGUAAGAUACAUAAUCUUAUCUAUUUUGCCAACAUUUUCCAAGGGUUUGAUAACCAAAUUUGCAGGCAUUAACAGUCGUGAUAAUGGCAUGUAGUAUAGAUAGAGGCUGUGCUACUACACUGUCAGAUGUCAUUGUUGUAUACCUUGUUGUUCUUCUCCUAUCGAGUAGUUUAUUUUUUCAACGCACUGCAGUUACAAGUUGUUGGGGUUCAUUAUAUAUAAAUUUUUUAAAAAUUAUUUAUGUUUCACAUGAACGUCCUUUUUUGUUUUUGCAUCGACUCUUUGUCUGUAGUAUGUCGAAUCGUUCUAAUGUCCUUGGUACAUGAGUUGACAAUUGACGUGAACACUUUAUAUAGGUUAAAUGUAGUCAGAUAGACUAGAUCUUCAAUCCAAAGAAAUGAAGAGCCUGUAUUAUGAGGGGGGGGGGGGGGGGGCACCAGUGGUUUUGGUGGCUUUUUGAAACCUUGUCGAUGGGCCUAUAUGAGAUCUAUGUUUAUAUUCCAUCUUCGUGAAUGGAUGUACUCUUAAUAUCAUAUUAUUUUGAAAGAACUUUGGAUUAGAUAUGGCAAUUGUCUGAAUGUUGGCCAGGAGUCUGUAUCUUCCCUUUAACAGCGCAUGUCUUUAAUAUCUAAUUUUCUGGUUCCUAUGUUCCCCAGGUUAACAGAUGCAAUUAUCUUAGACUUGCUUCUUUGCGUUCUGAUUGAUACCCUGUUGUAUAUGUUCUUAGGAAAAAUUAGUUGCUGAAUCACUAUUUCAUCUGGAGCACUGCUACUUACUAAUGGUUUUAGUUCUAUUCCCGGAAAAGAAUAUUUGUUGUUCACAAUCUCCACCGUUUUAUGAUUAAUUCUCCAAGAUCCUUGAGCCUCCAAUUUGUGCAGAAUUAAGUUUCAACGAAGGAUCAUCCUUAUGCCAGUGACCUGUGAACUAUAUAUUGUCUAUCUUAGUUUACUCUACAUGUAUAUAUUUGUUUUUUUUAAAUCUAACUUACAGUUUGAACAAAUUCAGACCUAGUUCGGUUCGUUAAUAUUACACAUACAUAGUGAAUUUGAACUUAGCUAUAACUAAGUUACUGGUUGCAGGUCAAAGUUUCAAGGUAGUAAACUUUGUGUCUUCUGGUUUAUUAUUAUACAUUACUGUAGGGCAAGAAUUUAUGGGUAUAGAGUAUUUUGUACCAUGCUUUUUAAGUGUUUGAUAAAAGUACUGACACAAGUUUUCAUUUUUUUUGGCAGAUUCAAUAUUUUGUUGAGGUUAGUUUACUCACCUUUAUAAUUAUAUAUAAUUGUCGAAUGUUUUGAUAUGACUUUUCUGUGGUUUCAUAUCAAAUCAAGUAUAGCUUAUGUAAUUUUAUAUUGGUGUGAUUUUCUGUUUUAUGAAUUGCAGGUUCAAGACUUUAAUAUUUUUUACAAGACGACUUAAAGACUAUUGAGAUUGAGGUAUACUAUUAUCUAAGGUAUACUAUUCUCCAUUGUCCUUUGUUUAAUCAAUGAAUGAAAUAUUUAUUGUAUUUAUGGCGAAGAUACUAUUAGUUUGUCAUGAUUUGUAGUCCUUAUUUUGAUAGACUAUCUUUAAUGUAGUGGGUUAAUAUUUUUUGUUAAAUGUUGGUUGGACUAUCAAACACGCUUUUUAUGGAAGAGAUAUCUACUUGUUUGGACAGUUCAACAACAUAUGAACUUGUUGAUUCACUGCGCCAUGUGGUUUUAUUCUUCAAGAAACUGCUCUCAUCUUUCUUUUGCAGCCAGCCCCGAAAAUGACUGUGAGGGAAACCUUGGAAUUUUCUGCCAGAUGUCGGGGAGUUGGAUGACUCUAUGGUUAGUUGAUAUUCAUUGUACUGUAUUCUCAGUACUGAUAUAUUUGCUUGGGGACUGAUAUGCUUAAUUAUAUGUUAAUUUGGCCGGGAAGCUACGAAGAACCGGGGAACCAAAGCAACAAUAGAGAACUGUAAUGAAAAGGAUUACUCUACGGCAACAGUAUGUGGUAGAGACCGGCCAAAACUACUAUUUGAUAUUGUGUGUGCCCACACAGCCAUGUAUUGUUUUCACAGCUAUUCAUAUAAUUUAUUAUGCAGAUGAUGAUCUUUCCUGGUUAUUGAAUUUUUAAAACUUAUGGCAAUCAAGUUUUUAACACGGCUUAGUUUAAUAACCUGCUGAUUAGUAUCUGGUUACAUGAAAUUCACAGGAGUAUUACAUUCGGCACAAGAAUGUCUUCCCCCUCCUAAACGUGGAUGAUGGAUGCCAAAAGGCCUGUGGUAACUAAACAUUUGAUUGCAGCAGUUGAAACGAGAGUUUCACAUGUUAGAUGUCCAGCUGUCCGCGCUCAAUAUAUUAGGCACUGUAAAUUUGGGUUUGGAUACAGCAACCAGAGUACCUGUGAUUCUUUGUAAGUUGAUUCUACAUUAUAUAUUCGAUGUAAUUUGAGUUUCACCUGUGAUUCUUUGGCCUGUGUUGUAGUGAAAUUAGCAGAAAGCCAUUUUUUAUGUUUCACUUUCCCUUUCCACCUCUACUUUCUUCCUACAAUUUCUUUCCAUGUUCACGGGCCGGCUACUUGAUGAGAACAUGUUGUUCACACCCUUGGAUGAGCCUUUUCUUCUAUUGUAUUUAGGGUUCCCAAACACUAGAUUGGACGGACUGGCUCUGCAUCUGCAACACUCUGCCCAAACCAAUUGAAUUCAGCGGCAGUCUAUCAAGUAAUGGUCUUUAGUUAUAACCAGGUUCAGCAAUCCACCAAAACACUAACUGAAAGCCGCAUAGAUAAAUUACAUUGUAGAAUGCAUUGUCAAAAGAUGAGCCCUUAUAAAUAUAUAAAAGGUUAUAAACUGCCGAAUCCACCAAGGUUUACAUAGUUGAAGAUAAUCAAACAUCCAUAUGUUUAUUUAGAUUAACUUGGAAAUGAAUGUGUUGGAUACACCAUUCCUUAGAUAAUUGUUAUAGCUUAGUAAUUGAUGGCACUCAGUCGUUCAUGCGUUCACAUAAUUUAUUCUCACAUUUGAUCGAGAUUAGAAUAUAGAGAUUUUUGUGUGGGCCUGAUGUUUUUAUUUGCAUUAUGUAACAGAAAAAGUUUUACAAUGUAUCUGUACAAAAUCCCGAAGAUGAGGAUUUUUGAUUUUCUUGAUUUUUGUAAUUGUAGAUGUUGCCUGAUCUUUGAUCUUAUACAAAAUGCUAAAGUGGAGGCUUGGAAUGAAUGUGUUGCAACCUGCAGACCAUAUAGUCACAGCUUUUAGUGAUAAAUUGACCUCAGGACCUUCGUUAACUUCAGUGAUGGGUUUUACUUAAUUGAUACUCCUAUCUCCAGACUUUAAUUAUAGGUUUUGUAAUUACAAGUUUAAAAUAUUCAGACUUUAAUUGCAGGUCUUUAUACUUACCAAUUUAUAAUACUAUAUGGUUUAGGAUCAAUUUUUGUAAUAUAAUGGUGAAAUGAGGAGGAAGAUGCGUGUGAAGGCUCAAAACAAAAUUCUAAAAAGAAAGAAGGUAUGGCACGGCUGCAUUCAAAUUGUAGUUUUAUUUAUCCUUUUAUGUGUGUUGUCAGCAUUAUAUCUUUAAUUGUCCUGUCUUUAGGUUUACGUUGACAAUUUUUAGUCAUUUAUCUCUAGUGAUUAAAUAUUUAUUUUGAGUUACUUUAUUAAGUGAAGAACUAGCACUGUAGCCCGUGCGAGGCACGGGCUUGUGCUUAUAUGCGUGAUGAUUUUCGUUGUUUCGACAAUGCGGCUGUUGUGGAUGCGUUCUCUGUUGAAACUAAUCCAUUAUGAAAGUUCUCCUGAUAAAUUGUAAUAAAUCUAAAAACUCAUGCAAGGUAAUGAAUGUGUCCAGCGGGAUGGGGAGAAAAGAGCGACAUCAUUUGGGGAGAUAUACUUGAUCCUCUAGGAAUUAAUGGGCAACCUAAGAAUCAUGUGAUGGUUCACAUGUUUAACAAAUUUGACAUCAGAAUCUUGAAAUGGUUUAAAACCUUUUAUAUGAUCGAACUUGAGGAAACCGUAAACUUAGCUGGACUUGGUUUAAAUCUUAUUUGUAUUAGGAGUUUGUUUUAUUGCUUGCUCAUUUAGUUAUAGUUUGGGUUCACAAAUGAAAAUGCAGAGCUAAAAGCUUCGCAUCCAGAAUUAACGAAUCUGGAUCUUCAGGUGUCCGUGAAUUCGGCACCAGCAGAUGGGCUAUUGUUUGCCACUGUUUGUCAAAUAGAUGAAAAUGAUAGGUUAUGCUGUGCUUUCAAGUGAGAAAAAGUGCUUCUGGGGAUAUUUCUCCAAGUUUUUUUUAUACGCCGCAACUUUGAUGCAAAUGAAUAUAACAUCUGGUUGCUGAUUAGUACAGAUUUAAUGUUUGUGAUGACCACUAACACUGGCUAGGUAUAGUGAUUACACUUACACUAUAAGAAGAAGCAUCUUUAGUAAAGAACUAAUUAUACUAAUGGCACAAUUAUAUUAGUGAUUAAAUCCACUUUGACAUAGGCUUUGCUGACUUCUUUUAUAAGAUCUCAUUUUUAAACUAAUAUUUGUUAUGCAGCAACCAUGCUAAAUAAUCAGCACAUCAAAAUGUAUAUACAUAAAUUUGGUGAUUAAUAUCACUUAAGCAUCCAUCAAACCCAUCAAAAGUAGCAUAAGGCUUUUCAUAUCACAAUUUCCUAAACAGUCAUUACCUUGCUCAUUUGAUAGCAAAUGAAACUACACACUGCUACAAGAGGUAGUAAGAAGAAAAGGGUUGUAAAUAGACCAGAAAAGUGAUGACAUCCAGGUUUUCAACUCCCUCGCUAUGUCCCCAUUCAUUUAUAGAUUUUCAAUCUUCUGGUUUGCAGACCAUAGGUAAACUAAACCUGAUAGACAAAUCGGAGACGGGAAAUUAAUUACGUUAUGUAUAUAAAAAUAAAAAAAGGAGAAGACUGAACAUAUAAUUAUUAUGCAUAGAAAGAUUACAGUUGGUUCGCUCAUUCAAUUUUAACUGAAUCUUGGCCAGGCUGAAAGUUAAAGAGUUAAAUGCAUUGUGUGUGCUUGUUGUUCCGAGUUUGCGCACUUUGUGUACCUUAUUUUUCAUAUCUAGCAAUUUUUUUUAAAAAGACAUUAUAAAACUAUAAUUUAUAAAAGUCUGCGUGCCAAAAAUUAGCAUAAAAAAUCUGGUGGGAGGGAGAGUAAUUUUUAGUUAGUUUUUAUCCAUCAAUUGUUUCUCCUCGUUGAGAUUAUAACAAUAGAGAUGACUACUGUUUUUAAUUGUAUCAACUUAUUAAUUAGCAUAUUUUAAAUUUUAAAUUAUUUAUCACUAUUUUUUACAUAUUUUUUAAUAAAUUUAACAUAAAAUAUUAUAGAGUUAAGUUCCAUGUAGUCCACAUUUACUGUAGUAUCGUAGACCACUGUAACACCCCAGUCCCACAUCGAGGAGUGUGGGGAUAUUUGUUCAGUUUAUAAGUAUAAGUACUACUACCAAUUGCACCAACAAAUCAUGAUCUUUUGGGGGCCUGUGGUGGGCUUGUGGAUUCCCCAAGUUGUUGCAGUUGGGCCAGUAUAUUUAGGCUUAUUUUCGGAUUCGGAUUUCGGGACUUGACCUGAUUUUCGGAAAAGACUCGGGAUUUGACCCGGGUUGUUUCAUAUGGUAUCAGAGCCAGGUUCUCGAAAGCUUGAUUCGUCAAGUUGCCGGAGGUGGGGACACGAAGGCUGGUGGUAUUAUCCCGCAAUGGAGAGAGAUCCGGAGGCGGGGACACGAAGCCAGCCGGUAUUAUCCCACAAUGGCUAGAGAGGUUCGAUCUGGGCCUAUGGGCUAUCCGUUUCGGCCUGACGAGGACGUCAGGAAUUUAAGUGGGGGAGUUUGUAACACCCCAGUCCCACAUCGAGGAGUGUGGGGAUAUUUGUUCAGUUUAUAAGUAUAAGUACUACUACCAAUUGCACCAACAAAUCAUGAUCUUUUGGGGGCCUGUGGUGGGCUUGUGGAUUCCCCAAGUUGUUGCAGUUGGGCCAGUAUAUUUAGGCUUAUUUUCGGAUUCGGAUUUCGGGACUUGACCUGAUUUUCGGAAAAGACUCGGGAUUUGACCCGGGUUGUUUCAACCACGUAUGUUUUGCAACUAUAGAAUGACAUAAAAACAUUGCAAAAUGUAUGGAUAUUUGUUCAGUUUAUAAGUAUAAGUACUACUACCAAUUGCACCAACAAAUCAUGAUCUUUUGGGGGCCUGUGGUGGGCUUGUGGAUUCCCCAAGUUGUUGCAGUUGGGCCAGUAUAUUUAGGCUUAUUUUCGGAUUCGGAUUUCGGGACUUGACCUGAUUUUCGGAAAAGACUCGGGAUUUGACCCGGGUUGUUUCAACCACGUAUGUUUUGCAACUAUAGAAUGACAUAAAAACAUUGCAAAAUGUAUGAAACUUGUUAUUUUGUGAAAUACAUUCUAUAAAUAUCACUAUUUCAUGAAAAAUAUUGAAAAUCAUUUAUGUUCGACAAGUAGAACACAGAUGUUCUGUAAUAUGUAAAUAUGUUCUGCAAACUUAACAUGUUUUGCAGAAUAAUGUGUUUUUGACUAUUUAACUUAUAGAAUAUUUAGGAUUGUCAAAAUUUUUAACAAAAUAAUGAUGUUUAUAGAAUAUGAUUUGCAAAAUAACACAUUUUGCAAUGUUUUUACGCCAUUCCAUAGUUGCAGAACAUAUGUGGUCUACGGUACUACAGUAAAUAUGUGGACUACAUGGAACUUUGUUCAAAUAUUAUAUCGAUUGAGUUAUAUACAUAUAUAUAUUAUUGUACAUAUAUAAUUAAACUUAUAAAUAUUAAUUUAAAUAUAUAGAUAAUGAGAGUCAAACUUUAGUUUUUUGUUUAGAAAUGUUCUAAUAAAUAAGAGUUGUCACUAAUUUAAAACAAAUUUAUUAACAAUUAUAAUACUAGUAUGUUUUUCUCGUGCUCUGCAAGUGGGCUUAAUUUUUAUUUUAUUUUUGUGAUAAGCACAAUUUCGAUAAUUAUAAUAUCAUGAAUAUUUAUUAAAAAAUUAUUUAACUAACUAUAUCAAAUAGACUAUGAUACGCAUGAAUGUCCAACCACAAAUAAUAAUAUUUUUAUUUUUUACCUUUGUAUUUAAUAUUAUCCUUUUUAAAAUUUUGACUUUUUCUAAAAAUUAUUCUCAAAUCAUAAUGUUCAUAUGAAUAUAUUUCAGAAUGAUAUAUUUUAUUUUAAUACAAUCAUAAUGUUAAUCGAUGAUCUUUAAAGAGACGAAAAAAAUAUUCGGUACCAAAAAAAUAUAAGUUAGAUUUUAAGGUUUUUGAUGUUUAAUAAAAUUUAUUUUUCUAUUUAUGAUUAUUUGAGGCAUUGUGACUGCAAUACCACCACAUUUUUCGUCUUUAUCACAAUUUUCUGAAAGGUAUAAGUUGAAUUAAAAUUUAUAUUAAUAUGAAUUUAGUUAAUAAUAUAUGUAAAUAUGAAUUUCUCAUUGAUAUGAAUUCUAAAUAUUAUUAAAAAAUUUAUAGAGUUAUUUCAUAAAUUAAAUUAUUCGAAAUUCAAAUAUCAAAAUCAAAAUCAUAAUAUAAUUGUUAUUAUCAUUAUUAAAUAGAAAAAUCAUGUGAUAAUCAAAUUUUGAUAUUUUGAUAUUUAUAUUGUAAUAGUCCACUGAUGUGAUUUUGUUAUUGAUGAAGCAUAGAUAUCAUCACAUCCCGACGAAUUUGUAGCUUUUCGUGUGCAUGUUAAUCUACCUAAAGCUAAUUAGAUCCUUGCCAAACACCCAUAUCUUUCCUCUAGCUUUUUAUGUCUUGGUCUCUAUUAUUUUUUUAUCUUUCUUCAGCUGUGCAUUUGACGGAGUUAGGUGCAAACUAACGGAGGUACACUAUUUGCAAGAAUCUUGUAACUAAAGGUACACAAAGUGCUAGAUAUAAAAAUUAAGGUACACAACAUGCAUAAAGUUGAAACAACAGGUACACAAUAUGCAUUUAACUCAAAGCUAAGGGCAAAGUGCUAAUUUUUCGAAGUUAGCUAAUAAUUAAGCAAAUAGUCUGGCAGAAGUACAAAUGCAAAAGUGGACUAAUACACUUCUGAUCACCACAUGAAGAAUUUUCAGGUCCUGUACAAGUGAAGUCCUUUUAGUAAUUUAUGGUACUUUUCUUGAUCCAUAGAUGACGGAAGAGUAUAUUCUCUUGUAUAGUGCCUGUUUGUUUCCAUGCUGUCCGAGAAACGUAAGCUACCAUUCCAUGCACCUGACCUAUAAAAUUUUGAAUGGGUGAGAAAACAAAUUGCAAAGCUGCAUGUUUAUAAAUUGAGAUUUAUAUGUUAGUCAAACUCUACAGGAAUAUCUUUGAGAAAGCGUCAAUCGAAAUAGCUCAUGGCUUUUAUCAAGAACAAACUAUCUGUGUUUUUUUUUUACGAAGUUUUUUGCCACAAUGAUUUGUUACAUAUGAUAAUGAUAGUGCAUGCAAACAAAAAAAGGCAAUAUUGACAUAGCAGCAAAGGUAAUCCUAAUCUAAUACAUAAACUAAUUAAACUCUAAACUUAUCUAUCCAGGUAAUGGCUAAAAGCAACCGCAGGUUAAUUCAAGCAAGUCCCAACAUGCAUUAUGGGAAACUACAGUUAAAAAACAACCAGAAGCUCAUUUGAAGCAUUAAGAUGUGAUAUAUGCUUUUUCCAUCAAAAAAAAAAAAAAAAAAAAUGUGAUAUAUGCUUUAGUAAAAUUGAAACAAUUGUAUGUGCAGCAGACCUAUUUAAAAUAUCUGCCACAGGAUAAUAGCUAUUACAAGGACUUGAUCCUAGCUGAUCAAGAAAAAGACAAUCAUUUCUAUGAUAACCCAUAUGAAAAACAUGUUGGUGCAAUUUGGAUCGCUCGGGAUAUCUUCGAUUCCGUUUUUAGCUUCAAGAAAACAAUUGAUCUUUUUAGUAUGUUAUUUGUUUUACAAUGUGGUUGUAUCGGCAGUUGGGGGUUGUUCCCAGCUGUAUUAUAUUUAAUUUAAUCAAAUCUUCUUGCAUUUGUAAAAAAAAAAAAAGUCACUCAUAAGUAUUGUUAAAUCAUGGAAAACUAAUAUUUUGGAUUAAAUUUAACUAAAAUUAAGAUAAAAUUUUAAAUUAUACCAACAUCAUAUAAAAAUUAUAUAUUUUUACAGCACUUCUGACUUACAAACAAAUCAUAAUUUCAAAUUUUAUUUAAUUGAAAAUUUAAUUAUUAUUUGUAAAUUAAUUUUUUCACAUAAUUUAAAAUAUAUCUAAAAUGUUUAUAAAUAAAUAAAAAGUUCUCGUGCAGGCUAUAAGCUAGUACUAUUACAGUCAAAACAUUAACAAUUUGGUUUGUCGGUACUUGGGCCAAAUUACGAGUCUAUCUAUAUAACUAAUUAUUCUUUUUAAUUGAAAUAUAUUAUUUUUUUUAUAUUUCUAACUAAAAAAUCUCAAACUUCUAAAAUAACAUUGAAAAUCAUGAUAAUUAUCUUUUUAACUAAAAUAUAUUAUCUUUUUAUAAAUUUUUUAACUAACAAACCGAUUUUUUACAAUUAAUACAGACACAGGCGACAUAUUUAUAAAAAUAUAAUAUUAUUAUAUUGGUCGGGCGGUCGGUACUUGGGCCAAAGAUUGGGCCUAUAAAUAUAACCAAUUAUUUUUUUAACCAAAAUACAUAAUCUUUUAUAUAUUUUUUACCUAAAAAAACUCAAUCUUCUAAAAUAACAUCGAGGAAAAUAGUAAUUACCUUUUAACCGAAACGCAUGAUCUCUUUUAGAUUUUUAACUAAAAAACCGAACUUUUACAAUUAACACGGGCGACAUUAUAUAUAUAAAUACGGUCUUUCUAAUGUGUGUCCAAGGGCACACAAGAAGCACCAACUUUCAUGAAAAUGGCUUGUUUUGAUUGGUGGAAUUGAUGUAAAUGCAGGGGGGUCAUUUACAUUUAUUAUCCAUCCACCAAUCAAAAGCUAGUAUUCUCAUGGAUGUUAGUGACUAUUGUGUGCCCUUGGGCACACCAUAGAAAAUUCGAUAUAAAUAUAACAUCAUUAUACAUAAUUAUUAAUAAAAGAGCAAGGAAAGAAACAUGUGAUUUUAUUCAACAAAUAUACGUUAAUAACAUUAUUUUUAAAUACUCUAAUAAUCUCACGUUAAAAGAAAUUUUAUAAAUCUGUAAUAUACUAUAUAUUAUUACACUAUUAAAGUCGAAAUAUAAAAGCUUCAGUUGAUUGGUUGGUGAGUUGAGUUUGAUGAACCUGUAUUAUCGACUCAUGUAGCUCUUGAAUUUAUAACAUGUUAUAAUAUAUUUUUUAUAUUUAUUUAUUAAAUCAAAACGUUAAAUUUAGGUUAGUACGAAGAGUUCGGUAUUUGGUUUCAUGCCUCCCUUUGACUUAUAAUAUGUUUUAUAAUUUUAGAGUGUUUGACAAGCAGAGAGAUUGUAUAAGAAGGCAACUCACAGCAGCUUAUACGCCGCAACCAUCAUGAAUAUGGUCCGUUGUGUUCUGAAAGAAAAAGAGUGCCGAAACCUUACUGGGCUGAAGCUGCUAAUUGGGUGGCACAUGUUCUCAAUAUCAGCGAUAAAAGAAAAGACACCAGAAGAUGAUACAUUGUGGAACAGAAGAGCAGCUUGCGGACAUCAUGACAAAGCCACUUAAACUGGGAGUUUGUGAUGAGUUAAACUGGGAGUUUGUAAAUACAAUCAGUUUAGGAGAGGCAUUGUUGGGUUAGACUUGGUCGCGUUUUGUUAGCAAGUAGUUAAAUAAACUCCUAUCUUUCAGGAGAUAGUUAGUACUGUAUUGGGUUAGAUUUUCACUUUCUGUAGUUAUCUUUGUAAGGCUAUUUAUAAUCCAGAGCUUGAAUAUUUCUCUGCAUACUAUAGUUUCAGUUUUAACAGAGAUAUGAUGGUGAUGAUGAUGAAAUUUUUGAUAUCAAAUUCUCGAUUCCUACCACAUUCUGCUGCUUCACUUCAUACAUCCUUUUGUUUUUCUGCAGUUUCUCACUUCUCCACUAAACCAAACCCUAAUAUUUCCCUUAAAUCCAAACCCCAAUUCCCUUAUUCUUCUAAUCCAGCUCAUGCUCGUCUUCAACAUUUACUCCUUGACAAGUCCAAGGUUGGUUUCGAUAAACUCGAUGAUGCUCUUCGAGUGUUUAAUAAAAUGCUCCUUAUGAAACCUCUGCUUCCUGUUAUCAACUUCGCUCAACUACUAGCUGCCCUUGUUAAAAUGAAAGAGUACUCUGUAGCUGUCUCCCUUUUUAGGAAGAUGCGUGUAGAAAGCAUCCCUGUUAGUGUAAUUACCAUUAAUACUGUCAUUAACUGUUUCUGUCACUUGAAUCGUGUCGAUUUUGCCUUUUCACUAUUGGCUGGAAUCAUCAAGCACGGUUUUGUCCCUGAUGUGGUUACUUAUAACACUCUCAUCAGGGGCCUUAUUUCCCAAGAUAUGCUUCAAGAGGCUCAGCUUUUGUUCCAGAACCUCAUCAGAUUUCAACUUAUUCAACCCAAUGUUGUAACCUAUAACACAAUCAUCGACGGCAUCUGCAAGAGAGGGAAUCCUUCGGUGGCUGUUAAGUUGUUCAAAAUUAUGGAGAAGAAAGGUUGCAAGCCUAAUACUGUAACUUACACAACAAUUAUUGACUGUUUGUGUAAGCAUAGAUUAGUUGAUCAAGCAUUGGGUCUUCUCCACCAAAUGACAAAGAAAGGCGUAUCCCCAAAUGUUAUAACCUACAGCUCAUUAAUUCAAGGGUUGUGUGACGUUAAUCGAUGGCAUGAUAUCCGUCAAUUGCGUAAGGAGAUGGAUGAUAGGAACAUCUCUCCAAAUCUUUAUACUUUCAACAUAUUGGUUGAUGCAUAUGGCAAAGAAGGACUGAUUGAAGAUGCAGAGGAUGUGAUAAAGUUGAUGAUUCAAAGAGGAGUAUAUCCUGAUGUAGUCACUUACAGUUCACUCAUGGAUGGAUACUGCUUGCGGGGAGAGGUUGAUAAAGCUCUAGCAGUGUUCGAAAGCAUGAAGAGAA